Molecule: long non-coding RNA, 5461 nt
Filed under: Solanum tuberosum (potato)
Lineage: Eukaryota; Viridiplantae; Streptophyta; Magnoliopsida; Solanales; Solanaceae
Description: long non-coding RNA (STUB_LNC000321)
Source: RNAcentral
UCAGCUUAAAUAUUUCACAUUAAUCCUUCAAAUCAUCUUUCUGCAAACAUCCAAUGCUUGGAAGAUCAACUGUCCUCAUUCUGCUUGCGGCGAUAUCCGUAACAUAAGAGACCCUUUUCAUUUUAAACACCGAUCCAAAAUAUUGUCAUUUUUCAGGAUUUGAAUUAGCUUGUGAAGGUAACCAAACAGUUUUAUGGUUAUUCUCCAAGAAGUUGCACGUUCAAAGCAUCGACUAUGAUAAUCAGAAAAUUCACCUGGUAGAUCCGACUUUACAAACACAAGAUGAUCUAUGUUCUCUCAUACCUUCUAAGCUUACCUUUCACAAAUACAGUAGUUUCUUCAACUCAUACUAUUAUACAUCAGAGCAUAGAAAAACCGCACCCAUUUUCAUGUUCAAAUGUCCAUCUGCUGUUAAUGAUUCGACAUUUGUGGAAAUUAGUGGCUGCAAAUUAAGCAGAUACACUUAUUUAAAGAUUGGAGAGAUGAAAGUCUCUGAAGUGAGUGAUGGAUGCAGAGCAGAAUUUAUUGGCUUCACCUCAUGGCCUAAUAUUAACAACAUUUCCCGUUCUGAUAUUCAUCAAGCAAUUCUCUAUGGAUUUGAGUUUUCUUAUUCUUCGUGGGCAGGGGCGGACCCACGUAGUCAGUUUUGGGUGCUCGAGCACCCAUUGACUCCGGAAAAAAAUUUGUAUAUAUAUAUAGAAAAUAUGAUAAAUAUGUUAUUAAAGAAAAAUAAGCACCCAUAGAACACUAGCAGUCGUGGGUGCGCUGGUUAACACUUGGAAAAAUAAUGCGCGCGAAGCAUGAGGGCGAGGGUUCGAAUCCCCACAGCGUGACUAACUUUUUCUUUCUUUUUUAUUUUAAACUUUUUCUAUAUUUUAAAACCUUUUUCACUGCCCACUUUUAUGGGAUUUUUUCUUUUAACAAAAAGAGGAAAUCAUUCUUCUUCUUCUUCUUGUUUCAAAGAGAAAGCAACCAACCCAACAACAAACUUCAAGCUUUUUUCUUUUCAAAAUCAAAAUACAAAAGCAAGGUAAUAAGAUUUAAUGUUUGAUUAAAGUUAGAUAAUGAAAAAAAGGGUUAGGGAAAUUAGGUUUUGAGAUUUUCAUUGCUUAUGGCUAGUACUCUUUAAGUCUUAAUUCUUAAAAUAUAUUCCACAUACUUUUUUUUGUUACUUGAUAAAUAGAUUUAGACUUUAGAGUCUCACAUAUUUAGUGUUUUGUGAUUAAAAUAUAUUUUUUGAAUACUUUUGAAAUAAUUUUUUUUUCUUACCAACUUACUUGAUUCAAAAAUUAAAUUUUAGGAUGUAUACAAAUAACAAAUUGUGCAAUUGAAAAUUUUGUGCUCAUUGACUCAUAUAUUGCUAAUUAUUGCUUGUGGUGUUGAAAGAUCAAAUAGAUAUAUUAAUUGUUGUUUGGGUUGUUGAUAGAAAGUUAUAGAUUUCAAUAAAAAUUAAUUGAAUUAUGUGAAUUAAUUCUAUGAUAAAAUUGAUUUGUUUUCCAGAAAUUUAUCUUUGUAAAUUGAGAUGGAUAAGUAUGUCACAAAGUCAAAAAUUGGGCAUCCAAGUUCUAGCUCUACUCAUCCAUCUACCGCUUCAACCAUAGCUCCGAAAAUUCAAAAGAAAACAUUUAUUUCAGAUGUUGAUUUAGAAUCUCUUGAAGCUGAUCCGGGAAUUAGAAAGCCCAUUGNNNNNNNNNNNNNNNNNNUUUUUUUAUUAAAGAGUUUGAGUUAGUAUACGCUUACACUGUGAUUUCUAACAUGUUUAUGUUAAAAGAAGUGAGCACCCACAACCUUUAAAUCCUGGAUCCGCCACUGUUCGUGGGGUAACAUUCUUUUCUAUCCUCUAUACCUAAGAAACUAGGAAAAUAAUGAAUCGCCAUUUCAUCUAAAAACUUAAGCUGUUAGAGAGAGCACACUUUUAUUAUUUAAUUAUAUUCUCAACAUUCACUCACUACAGUUUAAUUUUUGCACGUCUUUGUAGGUUUAUUGGAUUUGAUUUCCGGUGAGGACUCAAGGCUUUUAUCUACAUAUACUUUUAAUUCUCCAUUGAUUUCUCAUUCUAAAAUAUUUGCACUUUAAUCUAUCCAGAUAUCAGUAAUGGGCUGCUUCUGUUUUUCAUGUGUAAGCUCCUAUAUAUCCUUUUAGCAAUCUAUAUGUUAUUUGGAUGGACACAGAUUAACAUUUCAUUGAUCAUGUGUUUUAUCAUCUCUAUGGUUCGUUAUAACUUCUCAAACGUGCAGUGCAUUUGGGAGCAAAAUUUGUAAUAGGCCUUCCGCUGGUAAUUGCAUUUCUGGUGUACAAAUUCAAAAGGAGGCAUUUGUCAAUGUACGAUACGAUUGAAGGCUUUUUGCAAACACAAAACAAUUUCAUGCCAAUCAGAUACAAUUACUCCAACAUAAAGAGAAUGACAAGAGGGUUCAAAGAGAAAUUAGGUGAGGGGGGUUACGGAACUGUGUACAAAGGAAAGCUUCAAAGUGGAAGAGAUGCAGCAGUGAAGAUGUUGAGCAAGCCUAAAGCCGGUGGGCAAGAUUUCAUGAAUGAAGUAGCUACCAUCGGAAGGAUUCAUCAUGUCAACGUGGUUGGACUCGUGGGGUAUUGUGUUGAGGGAAUAAAGCGUGCUCUUGUAUACGACUUCAUGCCCAAUGGAUCACUUGAUAAGUACAUCAGCACGAGUCAAGAAGGAAGUCCUCUGUUAAGUUGGCAGAGGAAGUAUGACAUUAUUCUUGGAGUGGCUCGAGGAAUUGGGUAUUUGCAUCGAGGCUGUGAUGUACGAAUUUUGCAUUUUGACAUCAAACCACACAACAUUCUUUUGGAUGAGAAUUUCAUUCCAAAGAUUUCUGACUUUGGGCUUGCGAAAUUAUAUCCAACAGAUAAGAGCAUUGUGACUCUCACAGCUGCUCGUGGAACGAUUGGAUAUGUUGCUCCAGAGUUGAUCAGCAGAAGCAUUGGAGCAAUCUCGUACAAAGCUGAUGUUUACAGCUUCGGAAUGCUGCUAAUGGAAAUGUUGGACUUGAAGAGAAAUGAAGUUGCAAAUGAAGAGAAUUCCAGUCAAUACUUUCCUUAUUAUAUUUACGAUAAGUUCAAUAAGGGGAAAGAGAUUGUGGUGGAUGAAGGAGCGAACGAUGAUGAAAAGAAGAUUGCUAGGAAGCUGAGUUUGAUUGCAUUAUGGUGUAUACAAACAAAUCCGAUACAACGCCCUUCAAUGAGUAAAGUAGUAGAAAUGCUUGAAGGCGAAGUCGAAGUGCUACAAGUACCUCCUCAGCCUCUUUAAUCUCAACCGAUUGUCCAUCAGAUCAUGGGAAGUUCUAUGACAUUUUCAUCUGAUUCAAUAGCUUUGUUGGAUAAUUCCAUUGAGGUAGACAUUUAAGCUGAUUGAUUAUAGUUGAUGCAAUGUUUAUGUAAAAUAAACAUAGCCAAUCCAACAAUGUUUGGGACAAAGAAUCGUAUUGUUAUUGUUGUACUAGUUAUAUUACAGACAUAAUACAUAAAAAUGCCAUUUAAUUUGGCCUCAACUCACAUUUAUGCGUAGAAACUUAAACAUAUAUAAAGUUGAACAAAUAGACACACGCAUCCUGCGUGGCAUCCUUACAAGGAAACUUGAAUCCUACAAAAACCGAACCGAACUGAAUUAUUUCGGUCUGGUGUUCGGUACACCUAUGCAAGAACCGAAAACCGAAAAAAAUCGAAACUGAACCGAAUUUACCGAAUGUCCAGCCCUAUGAGUCCUACAUGACAUAAUACAUGUAGGACAUCACAUAGGACCCAAAUUGUCAUGUAGGACGCAUGUGUCUUUGUUCAACUUUACACAAGUUCAAGUGUAUUCUUGUGCACACCCUAAGUUGGAGGACACAGAGGCGUAUCUAGAGGGGGUGCCGUGGGUUCACGUGAACCCAUGCUCCCCUCUCUAGAUCAUAUAUAGUAGUGUCAAUAUUUUUUUAAAAAAUAUUUAAAUAUAGAUGUGUGAACCCAUGUUCAAAGUAUCAUAUAAUAAUACGAUGAUGAUGAUUGGGGUGCACCUAUCUAUGUGAGGAUAGAAAUUUAAAUUUUAUAUCUAUGUUGUCUUUUUGAGUAACACCUCUUCAAGUGGUUCUCAGUUAUACUUUUGACGUUUCAACUAAUUUUGCUUUUUUUCCCCUUUAAUCUUUCAAAAUUUUCAAGUGUGUUACAUUGCAAAUUCCUAAAAAAUUUAGCACUGUAAAUUUUUUAUGUAAUUAAAUCAAAUGUGUAUAUUAAAAUUUAAAACUAGUAGUAUUAUAUAUUUUGGACCUAUAAGUUUUAAAAUUUAAUGGUUCAUAUUAAUAAUCAAAAAGUCAAAUCGAUCAAAUUUAUAUUUAAGAUACAUUUUUUCAUAAUCGUGCACCCAUCUAGCCAAAAUCCUGGAUACGCCUCUGGGAGGACAUAAAUAUAAAAGGCAUAUUCAUGUAUUAUGCCUAUAAAUAAAUAUAUAAAGUCACGACUGUUCAACACAAAUACACAAUUUGAGCAAAAGGUGUGUUUGGCAUAUGGGGGAAACAUGACAUUUCCAUCUCCCUCACUAAUAAAUUGGUAAACCGUCAAAGUCUUCCUCUUGAGGGACCUUCAUCAAAUUGCAACUUCCCCAUCAAGGACCAAACACAAGUCUUCCAUUGGCUUGGGACCCAAAGGAGUAAUAUUGGUAAUGAAAAGUCCACAAAGCUUCAACUUGCUAGAUGGUUUAAUUGCAUUUUUACUCUUAUAUAUGAUAACAGCAAUUAUUGUGAAGUCUCAGCUGAACCUGAGUAAUACACAAAUGUCUAAAGGAAACUGUCAGCUUAAAUACUUUACAUUAAUCCUUCAAAUCAUCUUUCUGCAAACAUGCCAUGCUCGGAAGAGCAAACACUACUGUCCUCCUUCUGCUUGUGGCGAUAUCCGUAACAUAAGCUACCCUUUUCGUUUAAACACCGAUCCAGAAUAUUGCGGAGAUGAUAAAAAAAUUGAAUUAGCUUGUGAAGGUAACCAAACAGUUAUAUGGCUAUUCUCCAAAAAGUUGCACGUUCAAGGCAUCGGCUAUGAUAAUCGGACAAUUCACCUGGUUGAUCCGACUUUACAAACACAAGAACAAGAUGAUCUAUGUUCUUUCAGACCUCAGCUUAAUUUCAACCAAUACAAUAGAAUCUUUCAAUCAUAUACGUAUACUAAUGAAUAUUAUAAAACAAUAGCUGAGCCCAUCUUCAUGUUCAACUGUCCGUUUGCUGUUAAUAAUUCUUCGACAUUUGUGGAAAUUAGUGGCUGCAAAUUAAGCAGAUACACUUAUUUAAAGAUUGGAGAAAUGAAUGUCUCUGAAGUGAGUGAUGGAUGCAGAGCGGAGUUUAUAGGCUUAACCUCAUGGCCUAAUAUUAAAGAUGCAGAGAACAACAUUUCCCUUUCUGAUUUUCAUCAAGCAAUCCUUUAUGGCUUUGAGCUCUAUUAUCCGCGUUUCGGAAAAAGGAUAAGUAACGACUUCAAC